AAGUUCGAGUGGGACAAUUAAACAAUCACAAUCCUUGUCUACAAUGGGUCGAAUACGUGGGUUUCUCCCAGUUGCUUUAGCUGUAGGAUUUGGUGUCCUCAAUGGAUAUGUGACAUUCGCGCCCUCGUUUAUGAGUCUAGAGGCAGAUAAAAAGCAUGAGAAGACACACGGGAAUGAAUCAGCAACACCAUCACAACCAUCCCAGCCAAAGUCGACCACGAACAAUGUGACUGCUACUUCUGAAAUUAAUAGCACGCCUAAAACCACACCAGAAUCUCCCAAAAAGUAACCAGAAGUUGCUAAGCGAAAGCUACUUCCGCAAUCUGUGGAAUGAAGCCAAAAUCACACGGUUGUUGACGGUCCUAUGAACAAACCAUACGAUAUGAUUAUGUCUUCUCACAUAGACAUUGGAGACUGACACAGGACGGCUCCUGUAGAAAUUAAGGCAAUUUACGAUAGUGAGAUGAAACGUUUCUUCCCGGUUCCAUUAAGUGACAUUUAGAAGGAAAAGUGAAGAAUAGAUAUCGCCCUAUUCUAUCAACAUCAAAGAGGUAAAGAGGAUAGAAUCUUUGAACCAAAUCUCCCGGCUUCCUCUGAACCAUAUCUUUACAGCUUCCUAGAAUUUUUGGAAAUAUGAAUAUGAUGUGAUCCGGGCGAUAUAAAGAAGAGUAUGACCUAUGGAGUGCUUUUGGCCGGGAGAUGUUUCAGUAGCAAAGACCGAAACGCCAGCCACGCUCCUCAAACACAUGGGAAAUCAGGGCCUGACAAAAAUUUUUGAAAAGCUAUUUCGAAGAAAGUACACAAAGAGCCCUGGGCUAAAGGGGGAUACAGUGCCAAGCUUUUAAAUAUAUCAUUUUUGAGGAUAGCUGUAAUAGGGAUGCUCUCUGGUGUUACAAUCCUACGAAGUGUUUUUUUUUUCUUUCCCUUUUUUUGCACAGGUUCGGGAGCGCCGAUAUAUAUUAUCGCACUAUUAAAAUGCCUUGCCCAAACGAUGACUAACAAAUAACAACACCUUUUUGAGAGUAAUAUACAUCAUGACCAUAUUCAGUUGCUUCCCGAAAAAGGUCAUCCCACACAUUAAAAAUGACCCCAAAACCGAAUAAACUGAACGCCUUGCUUUAUAAAAAGAAGAAAGCAUGAAAAGAACACUGCCAUCUUCAAUGUUUUAGACUUCUUCCACAAGUUUGUGACCCUGGCUAGGCCCAGAGCUCCCGUUCAUGGGCAUAUCUUCAAAGAUCCGCCCGGCAGGGGUCCCAAACCACUCCUGCGGAAUCCCAAUCCGACAGCCAUCACGGUUCGAAACAUAGCGUAUCAUAAUUGGGUCAGGUUUUUCAGGCUCCUGUAACUCUUGGGUUCCAGGGGUUGUGUCCCCAGCUGCUGGUUCGGCUGCCGAGAUCUUGCCCCGUCGUUUGGGGGCCUGUUUCUUGAGUAAUUUGUUGAUUGUAUCCAUCUUUUCUUCUUCAUUGCGCUUCUCGCUGAGAUUUUUCCGUCGUCGUGCCAUUUCAGCUCGCCGCAUAGCAUGCUCUUCUGCAGUCAGGUGUCUCUUCACCUGCGGUUCCAUUGGCAACUGUAAGAAGUCACCCCCAAGCUCCAUACGGCCUCUCUGCCGUUUAGUCAUUUUUGUUACGUCGGGAGUACUUGCUCGACUGCCAGUAAUAGGAGUGCCGCUGUCACUUUCUAACUCUUCUUCUUCCUCGUCCUCGUCGUCCUCUAUCUCUUCCUCUUCUACAAUCUCUGAAGCUUCAUCCGCCAUGGCCGUUUCAUCCGGUUCCCCAUCGGCAUCAGCAUCGGAAUCUAAUUCCGAAAGUUCUUCAUCGUCGUCUUCGUCGUCGCCAUCAAGGUCCAUAUUCGUGUUCAUAUUCUUCAGCCUGCUACCCCCGGCGGGCGUAACUGUAACAAUCGGCCGUGACGCCGCCUGUUUGGCGCCUGGGGCAAUUGGCGGUAUAUCAUCCAUAUCAACAUCGGCAUCGGCAUCAGUCUCAGCAUCUGCAUCGACGUCGACAUCGGCAUCGUCAUCCUCACUCUCAUUUCCGUUUCCUUCAUCAUCCGUCCCAUCCGCAUCAGACAUAUGCGACUCUUCCUCAUCAUCUUCAUUCAUCGAUUCGUCAACAUCCUCAUCCUCAUCUGUAUCCACUUCCACUAGCGUCUUCUUCGAUCGACUAUUCCUAGGUCCGGUCAUAAUCACCGAUUCUGUAAAAAUAUUGUGAUGCCGUUUAUCAGGACCACCAGUAACCUCUUUGAGCUUACUUGAGGGCAUUUUAACUUUCAGACGAAUAGAUUUGUUUACGUCCUUAGGGGGGCUGGGCGGCAGACGGGACACGGUGACUGAUGGCGAGGACAGAGUCUCGUCUCCGGCCCUGCGAGAUCUAGAAGAUUUUGGUUGACUUGGGGUCUGGGGUUGCCAGUCGUCGCUAUUUUCGUCCGUGCUGCUGGUGCUGGCGACCUCCGUAUUAUGGUAGUACGACGAUUCAAGGUCAGGCUGUUUCCAAACUCGCGUCAGAGGCCUGUCUGCCAUGGAAUUUCGGUUUUCCAGGCGGUGGGAGGGAUAGAAGGCGGAUACCGGGUGAGAAUAAGCUCACGGCCACCUGGACUCGAGACGGGCCAAAUCGCAUUGGAAAACUUAAAUUCUCAGCGUAUCAAUGACCGCGAAGGGGGGUCCAGGGC
This 2664-nucleotide small RNA is filed under the name Histoplasma capsulatum. RNAcentral's name for it is "hypothetical RNA". The record is from RNAcentral. RNAcentral also lists the same sequence under 1 other name. Lineage: Eukaryota; Fungi; Ascomycota; Eurotiomycetes; Onygenales; Ajellomycetaceae.